This 456-nucleotide ribosomal RNA is filed under the name uncultured bacterium. RNAcentral's name for it is "bacterial SSU rRNA". It matches the Rfam family "Bacterial small subunit ribosomal RNA", at positions 28 to 507 of the family's 1533-position model. The record is from RNAcentral.
GACGAACGCUGGCGGCGUGCUUAACACAUGCAAGUCGAACGGGAGUAUUGAAGGAGCUUGCUUUAGAGAUACUUUAGUGGCGGACGGGUGAGUAACGCGUGAGGAGCUGUCCUAUGCAGGGGGACAACAGUUGGAAACGACUGCUAAUACCCCAUAAGCCGAGAGGUAAAAGGAGCGAUCCGGCAGAGGAGGUACUCGCGUCCUAUCAGCUAGUAGGUGAGGUAACGGCUCACCUAGGCGAAGACGGGUAGCCGGCCUGAGAGGGCGAACGGCCACACUGGAACUGAGAUACGGUCCAGACUCCUACGGGAGGCAGCAGUGGGGAAUAUUGGGCAAUGGGGGCAACCCUGACCCAGCGACGCCGCGUGGGUGAAGAAAUCCCUCGGGAUGUAAAGCCCUGUUGUAUGGGAAGAGCAGAAGACGGUACCAUACGAGGAAGCCCCGGCAAACUACGUG